This 348-nucleotide unclassified non-coding RNA is filed under the name soil metagenome. Its description in RNAcentral is "partial contains 5.8S ribosomal RNA, internal transcribed spacer 2, and large subunit ribosomal RNA". The stretch from base 1 to 120 matches the Rfam family "5.8S ribosomal RNA", at positions 35 to 154 of the family's 154-position model. The record is from RNAcentral.
GAUGAAGAACGCAGCAAAAUGCGAUAAGUAAUGUGAAUUGCAGAAUUCAGUGAAUCAUCGAAUCUUUGAACGCACAUUGCGCCCGCUGGUAUUCCGGCGGACAUGCCUGUUCGAGCGUCAUUUCAACCCUCAAGCCCCCGGGUUUGGUGUUGGGGAUCGGCUCUGCCCUUCUGGGCGGUGCCGCCCCCGAAAUACAUUGGCGGUCUCGCUGCAGCCUCCAUUGCGUAGUAGCUAACACCUCGCAACUGGAACGCGGCGCGGCCAUGCCGUAAAACCCCAACUUCUGAAUGUUGACCUCGGAUCAGGUAGGAAUACCCGCUGAACUUAAGCAUAUCAAUAAGCGGAGGA